RNAcentral lists this ribosomal RNA (467 nucleotides) under uncultured bacterium. RNAcentral's name for it is "partial 16S ribosomal RNA". It matches the Rfam family "Bacterial small subunit ribosomal RNA", at positions 28 to 506 of the family's 1533-position model. The record is from RNAcentral.
GACGAACGCUGGCGGCGUGCUUAACACAUGCAAGUCGAACGGAAAGGCCCUGCUUUUGUGGGGUGCUCGAGUGGCGAACGGGUGAGUAACACGUGAGUAACCUGCCCUUGACUUUGGGAUAACUUCAGGAAACUGGGGCUAAUACCGGAUAGGAGCUCCUGCUGCAUGGUGGGGGUUGGAAAGUUUCGGCGGUUGGGGGUGGACUCGCGGCUUAUCAGCUUGUUGGUGGGGUAGUGGCUUACCAAGGCUUUGACGGGUAGCCGGCCUGAGAGGGUGACCGGCCACAUUGGGACUGAGAUACGGCCCAGACCCCUCCGGGAGGCAGCAGUGGGGAAUAUUGCACAAGGGGCGGAAGCCUGAUGCAGCAACGCCGCGUGCGGGAUGACGGCCUUCGGGUUGUAAACCGCUUUCGCCUGUGACGAAGCGUGAGUGACGGUAAUGGGAAAAGAAGCACCGGCUAACUACGU